CAGAGCUGGAUUAAGCAUGGAUUUUUCAAUUUUAAACAUGGCUGCGUUUUUAAGGCAGCUAGUUAUACCAGACUUUAAAAGGUUAAUGCUUGUUUGAGUAACCUUCGUAGCAUUCUCAACGAAGGAAUCAACAACAGUUUGAGGUACACGUCCUCUUUCUUUGAAAUUUAACAAACAUAAAGUAUUCGCUCUAGUCCUCUAGAUAAAUUGUCCUGGUCAGCCAUAAUGUAAAACCCUUUUUCCUGUUCAGGGUCUGUAUUGUCAAUCUCAUGAUUUUGAUUAGCAUCGUCGUUUCCCCUAUCAGUAUUCAACUCUGCGCUGCUCUUCGUAUUGCGCAAGAUGUUAUGUUUUCGAAUAAGGCAAUUUCUCAAUGAUAAAAAUUUCUUAAACGUCCUGGCACAACCAUCGAUGCCACAAACAACAUGAAAAUUUGGUUCAUCACGAUGAACACGGCCAAUAUGUGUUAUUAGUAAUUGAAGAGAAUCUGAAACGAAUUCUAGGCAAAUAUUACAUCGAUAUAGACGCUCCAUGACAUAAUUCACUUCAAGAAUACAAUUCACUUCUGAAGAGAGUGCCGGCUCAACUCUGUUACCAUAUAUGGUGUGAAAUGUGAUAUUAGCGACUAUAUGCAAAACGCGCGUUGUCAACUAAACGUAAAAGUCAAUAUUACCAGGCUAAAAGAGCCAUUGGAUUUAAGUUAUUUGGUUUCGACGAUCUCCCUUUUAAAAAGGUCGGAUGGAUUCCACGUUGCUUGAUAAUCUUAAGAAGGCAGGGGUAAAGGACAGUGUAAUUUCUAUUCUUGAAGAUGAAGAGAUAUAAAGAGUGCAGUUACAGCAUUGAUAUUCAGGUUGUGUUGAAUGAAAAAUCCACGGCCAAUUGCUUAGUUUUCAAGAUCUGCUGCGAAGAUGACUCUUUUGAUGAUGAAAUAGCAAACACCACCUACCCACGACUAAUUGGAACCGGAGAAUUAUGGAGUCUGGACCCCCUUGUAAUUGCUACCGAAGGGCAAAUUUUUUUAAAUCUGUCAAAAAAAAAUAUAGAAAUUUCAUUGUCUACAGUACUACUUCUAGGUACAUUUUAUGUACUGAAUAUGGAAUAUACACCAAAGGCCUGUAACAUUUAUGCCCUUUUGGAAGCAGUUUUGAUGGGCAAGCCCGCAAAUGCAAAGAAAA
RNA transcript from Xenia sp. Carnegie-2017, 1172 nucleotides. RefSeq lists it as uncharacterized. NCBI's taxonomy places the organism in Eukaryota, Metazoa, Cnidaria, Anthozoa, Malacalcyonacea, Xeniidae. The transcript is spliced from 5 exons. The record is from RefSeq and is a predicted model, not a curated record.